GACGAACGCUGGCGGCGUGCCUAAUACAUGCAAGUAGAACGCUGAAGGAGGAGCUUGCUCUUCUGGAUGAGUUGCGAACGGGUGAGUAACGCGUAGGUAACCUGCCUGGUAGCGGGGGAUAACUAUUGGAAACGAUAGCUAAUACCGCAUAAGAGUAGAUGUUGCAUGACAUUUACUUAAAAGGUGCAAUUGCAUCACUACCAGAUGGACCUGCGUUGUAUUAGCUAGUUGGUGGGGUAACGGCUUACCAAGGCGACGAUACAUAGCCGACCUGAGAGGGUGAUCGGCCACACUGGGACUGAGACACGGCCCAGACUCCUACGGGAGGCAGCAGUAGGGAAUCUUCGGCAAUGGACGGAAGUCUGACCGAGCAACGCCGCGUGAGUGAAGAAGGUUUUCGGAUCGUAAAGCUCUGUUGUAGGAGAAGAACGAGUGUGAGAGUGGAAAGUUCACACUGUGACGGUAUCUUACCAGAAAGGGACGGCUAACUACGUG
Molecule: ribosomal RNA, 495 nt
Filed under: uncultured bacterium
Lineage: Bacteria
Description: partial 16S ribosomal RNA
Rfam family: Bacterial small subunit ribosomal RNA
Source: RNAcentral